Molecule: ribosomal RNA, 588 nt
Filed under: uncultured bacterium
Lineage: Bacteria
Description: partial 16S ribosomal RNA
Rfam family: Bacterial small subunit ribosomal RNA
Source: RNAcentral
UGGGGAAUCUUCCGCAAUGGACGAAAGUCUGACGGAGCAACGCCGCGUGAGUGAAGAAGGUUUUCGGAUCGUAAAACUCUGUCUUUUGGGGCGAACGUGAGUAUGGUGAACAAUCAUAGUCAGUGACGGUACCAAAGGAGGAAGCCACGGCUAACUACGUGCCAGCAGCCGCGGUAAUACGUAGGUGGCAAGCGUUGUCCGGAAUUAUUGGGCGUAAAGAGCGCGUAGGCGGGAUAGUCAGUCUGUUGUAAAGUGCGGGGCUCAACCCCGUGAUGGCAAUGGAAACAGCUAUUCUUGAGUGCAGGAGAGGAAAGUGGAAUUCCCAGUGUAGCGGUGAAAUGCGUAGAUAUUGGGAGGAACACCAGUGGCGAAGGCGACUUUCUGGACUGUGUCUGACGCUGAGGCGCGAAAGCCAGGGGAGCGAACGGGAUUAGAUACCCCGGUAGUCCUGGCCGUAAACGAUGGGUACUAGGUGUGGGAGGUAUCGACCCCUUCCGUGCCGGAGUUAACGCAAUAAGUACCCCGCCUGGGGAGUACGGUCGCAAGACUGAAACUUAAAUGAAUUGACGGGGUCAUAGCUGUUUCCUG